UGGAAGAGAUUGAACUCACCUCAUGAAGCAGUGUUUUGCUGAGCUUGUAAUGCCAUUGUAAUUGGAUUGCUUGUGCAAUAAGGAUUUGUUAUUUCAGGGUGUGGUUGAAAGGAAGCUGAGAAGGGGGGAGCGGAUUGUACUUCAUAUGCUGGGGAGCAUAGAGGGACACUCAUCCUAUACAUGACGUACAGGCAGAGGGCCCAGAAUGCGUUUUGGAAACAUGAGAAAUAAAGAACUUAAAAUUCUGAGA
This 250-nucleotide long non-coding RNA is filed under the name Apteryx owenii (little spotted kiwi). RNAcentral describes it as "lncRNA (ENSAOWG00000017184.1)". Lineage: Eukaryota; Metazoa; Chordata; Aves; Apterygiformes; Apterygidae. The record is from RNAcentral.